RNAcentral lists this transfer RNA (72 nucleotides) under Urocitellus parryii (Arctic ground squirrel). RNAcentral's name for it is "Spermophilus parryii (Arctic ground squirrel) tRNA". It matches the Rfam family "tRNA". Rfam says of the family: Transfer RNA (tRNA) molecules are approximately 80 nucleotides in length. Their secondary structure includes four short double-helical elements and three loops (D, anti-codon, and T loops). The record is from Rfam by way of RNAcentral. Lineage: Eukaryota; Metazoa; Chordata; Mammalia; Rodentia; Sciuridae. RNAcentral also lists the same sequence under 1 other name.
GGGGCUGUAGCUCAGUGGUAGAGGGCUUGCCUAGCAUGCAGGAGGCAGUGGGUUCGAUCCUCAGCACCUCUU